GUGAGUAUAGCUCAGUGGUAGAGUGCAUGCUUAGCAUGCACAGGGUCCUGGGUUCAGUCCCCAGUACCUCUG
Molecule: transfer RNA, 72 nt
Filed under: Camelus bactrianus (Bactrian camel)
Lineage: Eukaryota; Metazoa; Chordata; Mammalia; Artiodactyla; Camelidae
Also listed under: 2 other names
Rfam family: tRNA
About the family: Transfer RNA (tRNA) molecules are approximately 80 nucleotides in length. Their secondary structure includes four short double-helical elements and three loops (D, anti-codon, and T loops).
Source: Rfam by way of RNAcentral